Molecule: long non-coding RNA, 600 nt
Organism: Paramacrobiotus metropolitanus
Lineage: Eukaryota; Metazoa; Tardigrada; Eutardigrada; Parachela; Macrobiotidae
Exons: 2
Source: RefSeq, a predicted model, not a curated record
CAUGUGCGUUCCAGCCGUUUCGAUCACUUUAUUUAUUGCAUCAGUAGCAAGCAGAAUAUAAGCUGCAAGAAUUCGUUAUCGAUCUCCGUUAUCGUUAUCAUGCAGAAAUUACUCUUAUGUGUAUUCCUUAUGCUGUGCAGCAUUGUCUUUUGCCAGGGCAACCCGCGAGAACGCCGGCAACUAGUAAAUUCCGCAAUCGAUGCCGCAAAAUCGGUCGGGCACGGACUAGCGGCAGUGGGUGAUGCGCUGACGUUGCAAGGCCACAAGGCGGCUAACCAGGGGGGAAAGGCUGUCGACCGUGCGGGUGAUUCUGUUAAGGAUUUGGGAAAAAUUGUUUAUAACCCAAAAUCAUAGUCCCAGAAAUUAUGUUUCGUUGUUAUACUGUAUGUAUCGGUAUGCGAGCAUCGCUGUCUGUAUUAUGUAUGUACUAUGUAGUGUACAAUUGCACGUAUAAACGUAAGCUUAUCUGUUUGGACUAAAUGGAUUUGUACAAAGCUGUAAAUAAAUUUUUGUUCAUGUAAUUUUUAUCACGGUGACGUUGUGAAUUGCUAACUGUAAGUUGAACGGCAAAUCUGGGCGUAAUAAAACACCCGGUACAUU